RNAcentral lists this unclassified non-coding RNA (299 nucleotides) under plant metagenome. RNAcentral describes it as "partial contains 5.8S ribosomal RNA, internal transcribed spacer 2, and large subunit ribosomal RNA". The stretch from base 1 to 105 matches the Rfam family "5.8S ribosomal RNA", at positions 50 to 154 of the family's 154-position model. The record is from RNAcentral.
GAAAUGCGAUAAGUAAUGUGAAUUGCAGAAUUCAGUGAAUAAUCGAAUCUUUGAACGCACAUUGCGCCCCCUGGUAUUCCGGGGGGCAUGCCUGUUCGAGCGUCAUUUCACCACUCAAGCCUCGCUUGGUAUUGGGCGACGCGGUCCGCCGCGCGCCUCAAAUCGACCGGCUGGGUCUUCCGUCCCCUCAGCGUUGUGGAAACUAUUCGCUAAAGGGUGCCGCGGGAGGUCACGCCGCAAAACAACCCCAUUUCUAAGGUUGACCUCGGAUCAGGUAGGGAUACCCGCUGAACUUAAGC